Long non-coding RNA from Mesocricetus auratus (golden hamster), 1127 nucleotides. RefSeq lists it as uncharacterized. NCBI's taxonomy places the organism in Eukaryota, Metazoa, Chordata, Mammalia, Rodentia, Cricetidae. The record is from RefSeq and is a predicted model, not a curated record. The transcript has 3 exons.
GUUAUGGAUGGCUGUGAGCUAUCAUGCACUUUCCACAGCACAACUGAUAUCAUAGUCACUUCAGGAAAACCAAGUUCUCCAUGUAAGAAGACUUUUGAUCAUCUACUUGGGUGACUUGUACAUUUGAAGAAAGGAAAUAUUCAAAACUGUUGUUUCGUGGCUCCAUCUGCUGGAAGGAGUGUGCACUACCGAGUUUUUAUUACCGGACACACAGAAGCAAGGGCAGUUUAGACCCAAUCCCUAGAAACUUCUGCAAGCACGCAGUUAACUCAGCACAGUCAUGAAACCAUUUUAAGCUGUGUUGUAAAAGUGCAGAGAAGUAGGAAUUGUGACCCUCUGGGCUUUCCCUCUCAUUGUCACCUUGUACCUGUCCCUCGUUUCUUCCUCUCAGAAGGAAAUUUCAUUCACCGGAUAGUCUGGCUCCUGUACCCAGGGUGUCUAGUCUAGCAAUUAUCUUUGCAGUACCAGGCCCUGCCGUAGGCUUUGCCCAUCUUGUGCUGUAACCACAUUUUACGUAGCUAUGGGAGUGCUGACAUUUUCCUGGGAGAUGGCGCUCCUCUAGAGUAACAGUGUAUUUGGAAGGACUCUGUUUUUUUCCCCCCCUGUGUGUCCACUUUCCUUUCUAUAUUGGGUUUAGGAGGGUGUUAGGCAGCAGUUCCUUCCAAGAUCAGAACUAUUCAAAAGAGUUUCAGGAAGUCCCUGAAACUGAUCAGAUUCACUAGGCUUCUCCCUGCCAUAGUAAGCAACAAAAGUUGAGAGACCUCAGUUGGAAGGAAGCUGAGCUACCAAAAAGAAAGACACCCCCCCUCCAGAAAAGUUAUCUGUCCAAGAAGACUCAGACAAGAUGAACUGCAAAGAAGACUCCGAGACCAGACCAGCUGCCUGGAAGGAGCAUAAACCAGCCCAGCUACCCGGAAGAGGUUUAACCAAAUAAAUCAUUUGGAAAGGGCAUUCUCCAACCUAUUUAGCUGCCUGCAGACUGUGCAGUGUCUCCUAGCAUUGUGAGCUGGCCUCCUGCUGGGGCAGGCUUUGGAAAUGCAUCUGUCUUUAAGUCAUUUCUGUCCCUGUAAGCAACCCCUCACCCAUAUUCCUGUAAGUAACCCCAAUACAACUCGUUGGUUCACCAA